AGUGAACGCUGGCGGUAGGCCUAACACAUGCAAGUCGAACGGCAGCACAGUAAGAGCUUGCUCUUACGGGUGGCGAGUGGCGGACGGGUGAGGAAUACAUCGGAAUCUACUUUUUCGUGGGGGAUAACGUAGGGAAACUUACGCUAAUACCGCAUACGACCUACGGGUGAAAGCAGGGGAUCUUCGGACCUUGCGCGAUUGAAUGAGCCGAUGUCGGAUUAGCUAGUUGGCGGGGUAAAGGCCCACCAAGGCGACGAUCCGUAGCUGGUCUGAGAGGAUGAUCAGCCACACUGGAACUGAGACACGGUCCAGACUCCUACGGGAGGCAGCAGUGGGUAAUAUUGGACAAUGGGCGCAAGCCUGAUCCAGCCAUACCGCGUGGGUGAAGAAGGCCUUCGGGUUGUAAAGCCCUUUUGUUGGGAAAGAAAAGCAGCAGGUUAAUACCCCGCUGUUCUGACGGUACCCAAAGAAUAAGCACCGGCUAACUUCGUG
RNAcentral lists this ribosomal RNA (492 nucleotides) under uncultured bacterium. Its description in RNAcentral is "partial 16S ribosomal RNA". It matches the Rfam family "Bacterial small subunit ribosomal RNA", at positions 29 to 507 of the family's 1533-position model. The record is from RNAcentral.